UACGUAGGGCGCGAGCGUUGUCCGGAAUUAUUGGGCGUAAAGAGCUCGUAGGUGGCUUGUUGCGUCUGCCGUGAAAGCCCGUGGCUUAACUACGGGUCUGCGGUGGAUACGGGCAGGCUAUAGGCUGGUAGGGGCAAGCGGAAUUCCUGGUGUAGCGGUGAAAUGCGUAGAUAUCUGGAGGAACACCGGUGGCGAAGGCGGCAUCCUGGACCAACACUGACACUGAGGAGCGAAAGCCAGGGGAGCAAACGGG
Molecule: ribosomal RNA, 253 nt
Filed under: uncultured bacterium
Lineage: Bacteria
Description: partial 16S ribosomal RNA
Rfam family: Bacterial small subunit ribosomal RNA
Source: RNAcentral